CUACGGGCCGCUGCAGUGGGGAAUAUUGCACAAUGGAGGAAACUCUGAUGCAGCAACGCCGCGUGGAGGAUGACACUUUUCGGAGCGUAAACUCCUUUUAUAUAGGAAGAAGAUGACGGUACUAUAUGAAUAAGCGCCGGCUAACUCCGUGCCAGCAGCCGCGGUAAUACGGAGGGCGCAAGCGUUACUCGGAAUCACUGGGCGUAAAGAGCGUGUAGGCGGAUUAAAAAGUCAGAAGUGAAAUCCUAUAGCUUAACUAUAGAACUGCUUCUGAAACUCUUAAUCUAGAAUAUGGGAGAGGUAGAUGGAAUUUCUGGUGUAGGGGUAAAAUCCGUAGAGAUCAGAAGGAAUACCGAUUGCGAAGGCGAUCUACUAGAACAUUAUUGACGCUGAGACGCGAAAGCGUGGGGAGCAAACAGGAUUAGAUACCCCUGUGUC
Molecule: ribosomal RNA, 438 nt
Filed under: uncultured bacterium
Lineage: Bacteria
Description: partial 16S ribosomal RNA
Rfam family: Bacterial small subunit ribosomal RNA
Source: RNAcentral